RNAcentral lists this ribosomal RNA (460 nucleotides) under uncultured bacterium. RNAcentral's name for it is "partial 16S ribosomal RNA". It matches the Rfam family "Bacterial small subunit ribosomal RNA", at positions 338 to 795 of the family's 1533-position model. The record is from RNAcentral.
CCUACGGGAGGCAGCAGUGAGGAAUAUUGGUCAAUGGACGAGAGUCUGAACCAGCCAAGUAGCGUGAAGGAUGACUGCCCUAUGGGUUGUAAACUUCUUUUAUAUGGGAAUAAAAUGUUCCACGUGUGGGAUUCUGUAUGUACCAUACGAAUAAGGAUCGGCUAACUCCGUGCCAGCAGCCGCGGUAAUACGGAGGAUCCGAGCGUUAUCCGGAUUUAUUGGGUUUAAAGGGAGCGUAGGUGGAUUGUUAAGUCAGUUGUGAAAGUUUGCGGCUCAACCGUGGAAUUGCAGUUGAAACUGGCAGUCUUGAGUACAGUAGAGGUGGGCGGAAUUCGUGGUGUAGCGGUGAAAUGCUUAGAUAUCACGAAGAACUCCGAUUGCGAAGGCAGCUCACUGGACUGCAACUGACACUGAGGCUCGAAAGUGUGGGUAUCAAACAGGAUUAGAUACCCUUGUAGUC